CUCCUCCUCCAUGGAGACCC
Molecule: small nuclear RNA, 20 nt
Filed under: Arabidopsis thaliana (thale cress)
Lineage: Eukaryota; Viridiplantae; Streptophyta; Magnoliopsida; Brassicales; Brassicaceae
Description: snRNA_09685
Source: RNAcentral